Molecule: ribosomal RNA, 451 nt
Filed under: uncultured bacterium
Lineage: Bacteria
Description: partial 16S ribosomal RNA
Rfam family: Bacterial small subunit ribosomal RNA
Source: RNAcentral
AGCGAACGCUGGCGGCAGGCUUAACACAUGCAAGUCGAGCGGGCGUAGCAAUACGUCAGCGGCAGACGGGUGAGUAACGCGUGGGAACGUACCUUUUGGUUCGGAACAACCCAGGGAAACUUGGGCUAAUACCGGAUAAGCCCUUACGGGGAAAGAUUUAUCGCCGAAAGAUCGGCCCGCGUCUGAUUAGCUAGUUGGUGAGGUAACGGCUCACCAAGGCGACGAUCAGUAGCUGGUCUGAGAGGAUGAUCAGCCACAUUGGGACUGAGACACGGCCCAAACUCCUACGGGAGGCAGCAGUGGGGAAUAUUGGACAAUGGGCGCAAGCCUGAUCCAGCCAUGCCGCGUGAGUGAUGAAGGCCCUAGGGUUGUAAAGCUCUUUUGUGCGGGAAGAUAAUGACGGUACCGCAAGAAUAAGCCCCGGCUAACUUCGUGCCAGCCGCCGCCGUAA